CUGACGGUGUGCUUUAGACAUGCAAGUCGAACGAGAAAGCCCUUCGGGGUUAGUACAGUGGCGGACGGGUGAGUAACGCGUGAGAAUCUGGCUUCAGGUCUGGGACAACCACUGGAAACGGUGGCUAAUACCGGAUGUGCCGAGAGGUGAAAGGUUAACUGCCUGAAGAUGAGCUCGCGUCUGAUUAGCUAGUUGGAAGUGUAAUGGACUCCCAAGGCGACGAUCAGUAGCUGGUCUGAGAGGACGAUCAGCCACACUGGGACUGAGACACGGCCCAGACUCCUACGGGAGGCAGCAGUGGGGAAUUUUCCGCAAUGGGCGAAAGCCUGACGGAGCAAUACCGCGUGAGGGAGGAAGGCUCUUGGGUCGUAAACCUCUUUUCUCAGGGAAGAACACAAUGACGGUACCUGAGGAAU
Molecule: ribosomal RNA, 416 nt
Filed under: uncultured bacterium
Lineage: Bacteria
Description: bacterial SSU rRNA
Rfam family: Bacterial small subunit ribosomal RNA
Source: RNAcentral